AAAGUCGUAACAAGGUUUCCGUAGGUGAACCUGCGGAAGGAUCAUUAUCAAAGUACAGCGGACUUCGGUCCUGUCUGCACCCGUGUUUUUGCGUACCUCCCGUUUCCUUGGUGGGCUUGCCCACCAACAGGACACACCACAACCACUUGCAAUUGCAAUCAGCGUCAGAAAAACUAUAAUAAUUACAACUUUCAACAACGGAUCUCUUGGUUCUG
This 215-nucleotide unclassified non-coding RNA is filed under the name Ascomycota sp. RNAcentral describes it as "partial contains small subunit ribosomal RNA, internal transcribed spacer 1, and 5.8S ribosomal RNA". The stretch from base 1 to 47 matches the Rfam family "Eukaryotic small subunit ribosomal RNA", at positions 1785 to 1831 of the family's 1831-position model. Lineage: Eukaryota; Fungi; Ascomycota. The record is from RNAcentral.